This 260-nucleotide ribosomal RNA is filed under the name uncultured bacterium. RNAcentral describes it as "partial 16S ribosomal RNA". It matches the Rfam family "Bacterial small subunit ribosomal RNA", at positions 524 to 776 of the family's 1533-position model. The record is from RNAcentral.
UACGUAGGUGGCGAGCGUUGUCCGGAUUUACUGGGCGUAAAGGGCGUGCAGGCGGUUUGUUAAGUGCAGGGUGAAAGCCUCCCGGCUCAACUGGGAGAGGUCCUUGCAUACUGGCGAACUCGAGGGAGGCAGAGGAAAGUGGAAUUCCCGGCGUAGUGGUGAUAUGCGUAGAUGAUCGGGAGGAACACCUGUGGGCGAAGGCUGGCGUUUCUGGGCCUUACCUGACGCUGAGAACGCGGAAAGCGUGGGGAGCGAACCGG